AGAGUUUGAUCAUGGCUCAGAUUGAACGCUGGCGGCAGGCCUAACACAUGCAAGUCGAGCGGUAGCACAGAGAGCUUGCUCUCGGGUGACGAGCGGCGGACGGGUGAGUAAUGUCUGGGAAACUGCCUGAUGGAGGGGGAUAACUACUGGAAACGGUAGCUAAUACCGCAUAACGUCGCAAGACCAAAGUGGGGGACCUUCGGGCCUCAUGCCAUCAGAUGUGCCCAGAUGGGAUUAGCUAGUAGGUGGGGUAAUGGCUCACCUAGGCGACGAUCCCUAGCUGGUCUGAGAGGAUGACCAGCCACACUGGAACUGAGACACGGUCCAGACUCCUACGGGAGGCAGCAGUGGGGAAUAUUGCACAAUGGGCGCAAGCCUGAUGCAGCCAUGCCGCGUGUAUGAAGAAGGCCUUCGGGUUGUAAAGUACUUUCAGCGAGGAGGAAGGCAUUAAGGUUAAUAACCUUGGUGAUUGACGUUACUCGCAGAAGAAGCACCGGCUAACUCCGUGCCAGCAGCCGCGGUAAUACGGAGGGUGCAAGCGUUAAUCGGAAUUACUGGGCGUAAAGCGCACGCAGGCGGUUUGUUAAGUCAGAUGUGAAAUCCCCGGGCUCAACCUGGGAACUGCAUUUGAAACUGGCAAGCUUGAGUCUUGUAGAGGGGGGUAGAAUUCCAGGUGUAGCGGUGAAAUGCGUAGAGAUCUGGAGGAAUACCGGUGGCGAAGGCGGCCCCCUGGACAAAGACUGACGCUCAGGUGCGAAAGCGUGGGGAGCAAACAGGAUUAGAUACCCUGGUAGUCCACGCUGUAAACGAUGUCGACUUGGAGGUUGUUCCCUUGAGGAGUGGCUUCCGGAGCUAACGCGUUAAGUCGACCGCCUGGGGAGUACGGCCGCAAGGUUAAAACUCAAAUGAAUUGACGGGGGCCCGCACAAGCGGUGGAGCAUGUGGUUUAAUUCGAUGCAACGCGAAGAACCUUACCUACUCUUGACAUCCAGAGAACUUAGCAGAGAUGCUUUGGUGCCUUCGGGAACUCUGAGACAGGUGCUGCAUGGCUGUCGUCAGCUCGUGUUGUGAAAUGUUGGGUUAAGUCCCGCAACGAGCGCAACCCUUAUCCUUUGUUGCCAGCGGUCCGGCCGGGAACUCAAAGGAGACUGCCAGUGAUAAACUGGAGGAAGGUGGGGAUGACGUCAAGUCAUCAUGGCCCUUACGAGUAGGGCUACACACGUGCUACAAUGGCAUAUACAAAGAGAAGCGACCUCGCGAGAGCAAGCGGACCUCAUAAAGUAUGUCGUAGUCCGGAUUGGAGUCUGCAACUCGACUCCAUGAAGUCGGAAUCGCUAGUAAUCGUAGAUCAGAAUGCUACGGUGAAUACGUUCCCGGGCCUUGUACACACCGCCCGUCACACCAUGGGAGUGGGUUGCAAAAGAAGUAGGUAGCUUAACCUUCGGGAGGGCGCUUACCACUUUGUGAUUCAUGACUGGGGUGAAGUCGUAACAAGGUAACCGUAGGGGAACCUGCGGUUGGAUCACCU
Molecule: ribosomal RNA, 1528 nt
Filed under: Klebsiella planticola
Lineage: Bacteria; Pseudomonadati; Pseudomonadota; Gammaproteobacteria; Enterobacterales; Enterobacteriaceae
Description: bacterial SSU rRNA
Rfam family: Bacterial small subunit ribosomal RNA
Source: RNAcentral